UUUUCAUCAUUUGCAUAAUUAGUGCAAAAUCAUACUAGAGUAGGAUGGGAUCAUGAUAAGCAAUUUGUUCAAGUUGACGAUAAUGGUGGACGACUAAGAGUGAAAAUAGAGGACCUAAAUUCAUUGAUUUGCUUGAUAAAUGUUUUAAUUGUGCAAUAUAUAAUGAAUUUGCUCUUUACAAGCCAUAUGAAAAGCAACCACCUUUUG
RNAcentral lists this long non-coding RNA (207 nucleotides) under Cicer arietinum (chickpea). RNAcentral describes it as "long non-coding RNA (CARI_LNC000693)". The record is from RNAcentral. Lineage: Eukaryota; Viridiplantae; Streptophyta; Magnoliopsida; Fabales; Fabaceae.